RNAcentral lists this unclassified non-coding RNA (229 nucleotides) under plant metagenome. Its description in RNAcentral is "partial contains small subunit ribosomal RNA, internal transcribed spacer 1, and 5.8S ribosomal RNA". The record is from RNAcentral.
UCUCCGUAGGUGAACCUGCGGAGGGAUCAUUACAGAGUUCAUGCCCUAACGGGUAGAUCUCCCACCCUAUGUUAUCAUCACUUUGUUGCUUUGGCGGGCCGUCAGGCCUCGGCUUGGCUACCGGCUCUCGCUGGUAAGCGCCCGCCAGAGAACCCUAAACCCUGAAUAUCAAUGUCGUCUGAGUACUAUAUAAUAGUUAAAACUUUCAACAACGGAUCUCUUGGUUCUG